This 111-nucleotide transfer RNA is filed under the name Ceratobasidium sp. AG-Ba. RNAcentral describes it as "tRNA-Cys". It matches the Rfam family "tRNA". Rfam says of the family: Transfer RNA (tRNA) molecules are approximately 80 nucleotides in length. Their secondary structure includes four short double-helical elements and three loops (D, anti-codon, and T loops). Further hydrogen bonds mediate the characteristic L-shaped molecular structure. tRNAs have two regions of fundamental functional importance: the anti-codon, which is responsible for specific mRNA codon recognition, and the 3' end, to which the tRNAs corresponding amino acid is attached (by aminoacyl-tRNA synthetases). tRNAs cope with the degeneracy of the genetic code in two manners: having more than one tRNA (with a specific anti-codon) for a particular amino acid; and 'wobble' base-pairing, i.e. permitting non-standard base-pairing at the 3rd anti-codon position. The record is from RNAcentral. Lineage: Eukaryota; Fungi; Basidiomycota; Agaricomycetes; Cantharellales; Ceratobasidiaceae.
GGGAUAGAAGCUCAGUGGUUGAGCAAUCGAUUGCAGCUUCCUGCGCGAUUUAAGUUACGCGAUAAUUGCAUAAGCAUCGAUAGGCCGCGCGUUCGAUCCGCGCCUGUCCCU